AUCUGUAGCUGCUCUAAUUGUUGAAAAAUCAUAUUGAAAGGAUUCUGCAGUGCUAAUAUCAUCACCGUGUAUACUCUGAAUAUCAUUCACUAGCUUCCUUCUUCGCCUCCUCAUCAAGAUGAAAGAAGUACAGACAAUAAGAAAAACACCUAUAACAGUUGGCACAACGAUAAUGAUGACCGUUCGAGUUGUUUUAUCAUCUUUUCCUGAUAGUGGCGGUGGCAGCGGUGAUGGGGGUGAUAAGGGU
Molecule: unclassified non-coding RNA, 247 nt
Filed under: Hevea brasiliensis (rubber tree)
Lineage: Eukaryota; Viridiplantae; Streptophyta; Magnoliopsida; Malpighiales; Euphorbiaceae
Source: RNAcentral